AACAAACGCAGCAGUAAAACAGGCUGGCCCACUGGUCCUAGCAUCAUAUAUAAACCCACAGGCUCUGUCUGUAAACAUACACAGGUGGGGGAAAAUUCUCGCAGUGAAAAGGCAAGCUGGUCAACCAAAGUGAAACUGCUGACAUGAAACUCGAGUUGCUUGUUGUGGUGGCUGUGGCAGUUCUGCUGCCCAGUUUUUCUGAGAGCCGGAUCGUUUCCAAAUGCGAGCUCAGAGAAAAGCUCGGUGAAAUGCUUGAUCUGCCCAGGAGACUGAAGGAAAGAACGUUGGCAACAGGCUUUUGUUAUGCAGCUGCAGAGUCUGAAGGUGUGCCCUGUGCAGAAGUGAUUGAUGAAGAUCUGACAGAAGUGGGGAGCGGACAGACAGCAUCACGGAAGCUAAAGGGCAGACGAAGUAUUGUGUGUGCAAUGAACAGGGCAGAGCAGAAAUAAACACAACACUGCUCGAUAAGAUUGUUAAGGUUUGCUGUGUUUUGGUGAAUAUGUGCCCCAGUGUGGUUGUCAAACCAGGGCCAAAUGAAACUUGCUCUUGUUGACUAUUCAUAAAGCUGUUGUGUUGCAUGUGUAGUUCAUUGUAAAUAAUUGUACUUUGUGUGAAGUAGUUUCAAUAAAACAGAAAAGAAUA
Molecule: long non-coding RNA, 642 nt
Organism: Astatotilapia calliptera (eastern happy)
Lineage: Eukaryota; Metazoa; Chordata; Actinopteri; Cichliformes; Cichlidae
Source: Ensembl